CCGCGUGAGUGAAGAAGGCCUUCGGGUUGUAAAGCUCUUUUGUCAGGGAAGAAACGGCUGUGGCUAAUAUCCACGGCUAAUGACGGUACCUGAAGAAUAAGCACCGGCUAACUACGUGCCAGCAGCCGCGGUAAUACGUAGGGUGCAAGCGUUAAUCGGAAUUACUGGGCGUAAAGCGUGCGCAGGCGGUUUUGUAAGUCUGACGUGAAAUCCCCGGGCUCAACCUGGGAAUUGCGUUGGAGACUGCAAGGCUAGAAUCUGGAGAGGGGGGAAAAUUCCACGUGUAGCAGUGAAUGCGUAAAGAGUGAAGGAACCCGAUGGCGAAGG
RNAcentral lists this ribosomal RNA (327 nucleotides) under uncultured Oxalobacteraceae bacterium. RNAcentral describes it as "bacterial SSU rRNA". It matches the Rfam family "Bacterial small subunit ribosomal RNA", at positions 397 to 721 of the family's 1533-position model. The record is from RNAcentral. Lineage: Bacteria; Pseudomonadati; Pseudomonadota; Betaproteobacteria; Burkholderiales; Oxalobacteraceae.